AUUUGAAACACUCUUUUUGUGGAAUUUGCAAGUGGAGAUUUCAGCCGCUUUGAGGUCAAUGGUAGAAAAGGAAAUAUCUUCGUAUAAAAACUAGACAGAAUGAUUCUCAGAAACUUCUUUGUGAUGUGUGCGUUCAACUCACAGAGUUUAACCUUUCUUUUCAUAGAGCAGUUAGGAAACACUCUGUUUGUAAACUCUGCAAGUGGAUAUUCAGACCUCUUUGAGGCCUUCGUUGGAAACGGGAUUUCUUCAUACUAUGCUAGACAGAAGAAUUCUCAGUAACUUCCUUGUGUUGUGUGUAUUCAACU
This 308-nucleotide long non-coding RNA is filed under the name Homo sapiens (human). RNAcentral describes it as "LHRI_LNC1038.1". The record is from RNAcentral. Lineage: Eukaryota; Metazoa; Chordata; Mammalia; Primates; Hominidae.